Paramuricea clavata is the source of this 111-nucleotide non-coding RNA. The record is from the annotation of a GenBank genome assembly. NCBI's taxonomy places the organism in Eukaryota, Metazoa, Cnidaria, Anthozoa, Malacalcyonacea, Plexauridae.
UUAAAUUUAUUUGAAAAUCGCAAGUGUAGUUUUCGAGAAACUGAAUUUUAGCCUCUGAAAAGGCUGAAAUUCAGUUUCUCGAAAACUACACUGGCGAUUUUCAAAUAACUU